AAUCCAAUAGGCAGACCGAAUUAAGGCGAGGCUACAAGUUUAUAAAAGGAAAGCUGAAGCCGAACAAAUAAGCAGUCAGACUGAGACAUAGCCCAUAUAAGGCUCGACAAGAAAACAAGAAAUUAAGUCCGACUUCACAAAGGAGCUCGGGGCACCAAAGUGAAGAAAGUGAAAUUCCGAACUCCCGAGCUCACGAUACAGGCAGCGUCACAGGCUACAGGCAUAAAAGCCUAGGCAAAAAGCAAAAAACCGAUCUCCCAGCUCGGAUGAACUCGCAACAUGAAUAAAGAUAAGUAUAGAAGAAAUAACAGAGAACCGAGCUCCCUCUAUGAAAAGGCCCACAAAUGCAGAAACACAUAAAAGGAUAAACGAAGGCAAAGGACCGUGCUCACAGCUCGGGUUAACUCAGCAUAAACA
RNAcentral lists this long non-coding RNA (417 nucleotides) under Manihot esculenta (cassava). RNAcentral's name for it is "long non-coding RNA (MESC_LNC008204)". Lineage: Eukaryota; Viridiplantae; Streptophyta; Magnoliopsida; Malpighiales; Euphorbiaceae. The record is from RNAcentral.